This 583-nucleotide long non-coding RNA is filed under the name Theobroma cacao (cacao). RNAcentral's name for it is "long non-coding RNA (TCAC_LNC006076)". The record is from RNAcentral. Lineage: Eukaryota; Viridiplantae; Streptophyta; Magnoliopsida; Malvales; Malvaceae.
CCUAACAGGUUUGGUCCAAGUGCACAAUCUUUUUUCUUUUUUUUUUUGUUUUGGCUUCGUGGAUGCAGGAAGACUUUGGCGGUGUGGUGAUGAGGGUGCCAUUGACGAUCCUUGAGGACAAUUUAAUGGGGGUGGGGUUGUGAUGCUUUUGGGGGCCAAACUGAGGAGUGUCAAGGCUGCUUUUUAGGUUGGCUGCGUUUGUUUGGUAUUGCUUCGGAGGUCGUCUUCGUGGCGGCUGGUGGCUUUGCUUCUUUAGGAGCUGUGGGGUUUCCCUUUAUUGGUGGCUGAACUGUUGAGCCGGUUGCUGUUGUGAUAGACAAAGCUUUGUAGUGUGGAGCUGGUUUUGUUUUGAAGACUUCCUUUGCUUCUGGUGGUGGUCUCUUGGGAAGGUUAACGAGGAGUCUAGGAUGUGGGCCUGCGAAAGGAUGCUGCUGCUGACGGGCUGCUCAGUUGACUCAGGUUGCUUUUGUGAGAUUUUAAGGUGCUUCAUGCUGUUUGGUUCCGAUAGGUAGUAGUUUUAGGUGACUUUGCCUUGAAAAAUUAAUGGCCGAAUGUUUUGUUUAGGCUGUCAUGGCCUUGUUCA